AGAGUUUGAUCAUGGCUCAGAUUGAACGCUGGCGGCAGGCCUAACACAUGCAAGUCGAGCGGUAGAGAGAAGCUUGCUUCUCUUGAGAGCGGCGGACGGGUGAGUAAUGCCUAGGAAUCUGCCUGGUAGUGGGGGAUAACGUUCGGAACGGACGCUAAUACCGCAUACGUCCUACGGGAGAAAGCAGGGGACCUUCGGGCCUUGCGCUAUCAGAUGAGCCUAGGUCGGAUUAGCUAGUUGGUGAGGUAAUGGCUCACCAAGGCGACGAUCCGUAACUGGUCUGAGAGGAUGAUCAGUCACACUGGAACUGAGACACGGUCCAGACUCCUACGGGAGGCAGCAGUGGGGAAUAUUGGACAAUGGGCGAAAGCCUGAUCCAGCCAUGCCGCGUGUGUGAAGAAGGUCUUCGGAUUGUAAAGCACUUUAAGUUGGGAGGAAGGGUUGUAGAUUAAUACUCUGCAAUUUUGACGUUACCGACAGAAUAAGCACCGGCUAACUCUGUGCCAGCAGCCGCGGUAAUACAGAGGGUGCAAGCGUUAAUCGGAAUUACUGGGCGUAAAGCGCGCGUAGGUGGUUUGUUAAGUUGGAUGUGAAAUCCCCGGGCUCAACCUGGGAACUGCAUUCAAAACUGACUGACUAGAGUAUGGUAGAGGGUGGUGGAAUUUCCUGUGUAGCGGUGAAAUGCGUAGAUAUAGGAAGGAACACCAGUGGCGAAGGCGACCACCUGGACUAAUACUGACACUGAGGUGCGAAAGCGUGGGGAGCAAACAGGAUUAGAUACCCUGGUAGUCC
RNAcentral lists this ribosomal RNA (792 nucleotides) under uncultured bacterium. Its description in RNAcentral is "bacterial SSU rRNA". It matches the Rfam family "Bacterial small subunit ribosomal RNA", at positions 8 to 796 of the family's 1533-position model. The record is from RNAcentral.